UACAGAGGUCCCAAGCGUUGUUCGGAUUCAUUGGGCGUAAAGGGUGCGUAGGCGGCGCGGUAAGUCGGGUGUGAAAUCUCGGGGCUUAACUCCGAAACUGCAUUCGAUACUGCCGUGCUUGAGGACUGGAGAGGAGACUGGAAUUUACGGUGUAGCGGUGAAAUGCGUAGAUAUCGUAAGGAAGACCAGUGGCAAAGGCGGGUCUCUGGACAGUUCCUGACGCUGAGGCACGAAGGCCAGGGGAGCAAACGGG
This 253-nucleotide ribosomal RNA is filed under the name uncultured bacterium. Its description in RNAcentral is "partial 16S ribosomal RNA". It matches the Rfam family "Bacterial small subunit ribosomal RNA", at positions 524 to 776 of the family's 1533-position model. The record is from RNAcentral.